RNAcentral lists this unclassified non-coding RNA (181 nucleotides) under uncultured fungus. Its description in RNAcentral is "sequence contains ITS1". The record is from RNAcentral. Lineage: Eukaryota; Fungi.
AUAUUUUGAAUUAAGUAUAUUCAUAAUAUUUUUCAGACAAAGAGUUAAAAAAUAAAGGUUGAUGUUUGGUCGAUCUCCAUGAAGAAGAUCGACUGACAUUGCACACAAGGUGGAUAUGGAUUUAAAAAGUGCCAUAAAACACUUAUUAUGAAUGAUCCUUCCGCAGGUUCACCUACGGAAA